This 253-nucleotide ribosomal RNA is filed under the name uncultured bacterium. Its description in RNAcentral is "partial 16S ribosomal RNA". It matches the Rfam family "Bacterial small subunit ribosomal RNA", at positions 524 to 776 of the family's 1533-position model. The record is from RNAcentral.
UACGUAGGGGGCAAGCGUUGUCCGGAAUCAUUGGGCGUAAAGCGCGUGUAGGCGGCUCGAUAAGUCUGCUGUGAAAGUCCAAGGCUCAACCUUGGGAUGCCGGUGGAUACUGUCGAGCUCGAGUCCGGAAGAGGAGUGUGGAAUUCCUGGUGUAGCGGUGAAAUGCGCAGAUAUCUAAGGGAACGCCUGUGGCGAAAGCGGGUGACUGGGCCUGUCCUGACGCUGAGACGCGAAAGCGUAGGGAGCAAACGGG